This 663-nucleotide ribosomal RNA is filed under the name Triticum aestivum (bread wheat). Its description in RNAcentral is "partial small subunit ribosomal RNA". The record is from RNAcentral. Lineage: Eukaryota; Viridiplantae; Streptophyta; Magnoliopsida; Poales; Poaceae.
AUGACUACACCCAUGCCUACCAGUGGACAUCUUGAUUUAACCAAAGAUGGUGAACCGGUUGAUCUAAAGGUUUAUCGUUCCAUGAUUGGCUCAUUGUUAUAUCUAUGUGCCUCUCGUCCCGAUAUUAUGCUAAGUGUGUGCAUGUGUGCACGAUAUCAAGCGGCCCCUAAAGAAUGUCAUCUUAAGGCUGUGAAAAGGAUAGUGAUAUACUUAAUACACACACCAAAUUUUUGCAUUUGGUAUCCUAAGAGGUCUUCUUUCGAUCUUGUUGGUUACUCCGAUUCAGACUAUGUCGGAGACAAGGUUGAUAGAAAGUCCACUUCGGGUCCUUGUCAAUUUCUUGGUAGAUCUCUUGUGUCUUGGUCCUCCAAGAAACAAAACUCGGUAUCCUUAUCCACCGCCGAAGAGGAAUACAUUGCCGCAGGUUCAUGGUGUGCUCAAUUACUUUGGAUGACCCAAACUCUUAAAGAUUAUGGGAUAUAUGUGAAACAUGUUCCAUUGCUUUGUGACAAUGAAAGUGCUAUCAAGAUUGCUCACAAUCUCGUGCAACAUUCUCGAACUAAGCAUAUUGAAGUUCGUCAUCAUUUCAUUCGAGAUCACGUUGCCAAAGGGACAUUGAUCUUAAGCAUGUUCGCACCGAUAAGCAAUUGGCAGAUAUAUUGA